ACACACAGAUUGCGCACCCAAUGACUCACAUGACAUUUGGUUCGUCUCUCCUUGUCACGCUGUUGCUGCUGUGGCAACAGAUUCGAGGGUGACGGAUGGAGGCGGUGGCGCCGAUGGUGGAGGGGAAGCUGCUGGCGCAGGGAGAAGGCGGCUUUGAAAUAUGGAGGAGGAAAAAAGACGUCCGGCCCCCGUCUGCCAUGAGACCAUCUGGUGUCUGGGAAAAACUGGUCCCAGGGCAGCCACCUGCCAUCAGCAAUUCAUACGGACACCAGACACAUCCACCCAGACGCCUGUUGAAACACACACCGGAAAUCCCAAACAGCCUGCGCAAAUAUUCCCUGCAAUUUGCAAGCUCUCGAGAUCUGUGUGUCCUCCACAGACAAACGUUUCGGUACGGCGAAUGUCGACAAAUAUUUCAAACCUCCCUUAACAGAUUGUUUGGCGAGCGUGCAAAUAUGUCGUUAGCCGAGCCGUCGCUUUUUCAGGGAGUCGAUUCAAAAGUUGCCGUGGAAGAAGCGUCGAGUUUGUCGUGCAGAUUUGCCGCCAUGCUCGGACGGCAAGCAAUGACAUGAUGCCAUAAUCUGAAUAUUCUUUUGGGUGUCCUGUAAGAGGUCAGGGAUUCCGUUUUAGGCAAGUCGCACAAGCUCAGAUUGAAUUUCUUCAAAUCAAACAAAUGUGGCCUUUACACGAUUACUGGAUUCUUGCAAUAUUCUUUCCUCAAACCCAA
This is a long non-coding RNA of Syngnathus typhle (broad-nosed pipefish), 727 nucleotides long. RefSeq lists it as uncharacterized. Lineage: Eukaryota; Metazoa; Chordata; Actinopteri; Syngnathiformes; Syngnathidae. The record is from RefSeq and is a predicted model, not a curated record. The transcript is spliced from 2 exons.